AACGAACGCUGGCGGCAUGCCUAACACAUGCAAGUCGAACGAGACCUUCGGGUCUAGUGGCGCACGGGUGCGUAACGCGUGGGAACCUGCCCUUAGGUUCGGAAUAACUCCCCGAAAGGGGUGCUAAUACCGGAUAAUGUCUUCGGACCAAAGAUUUAUCGCCUUUGGAUGGGCCCGCGUUGGAUUGGCUAGUUGGUAGGGUAAAAGCCUACCAAGGCGACGAUCCAUAGCUGGUCUGAGAGGAUGAUCAGCCACACUGGGACUGAGGCACGGCCCAGACUCCUACGGGAGGCAGCAGUGGGGAAUAUUGGACAAUGGGCGAAAGCCUGAUCCAGCAAUGCCGCGUGAGUGAUGAAGGCCUUAGGGUUGUAAAGCUCUUUUACCCGGGAUGAUAAUGACAGUACCGGGAGAAUAAGCACCGGCUAACUCCGUG
This 433-nucleotide ribosomal RNA is filed under the name uncultured bacterium. RNAcentral's name for it is "partial 16S ribosomal RNA". It matches the Rfam family "Bacterial small subunit ribosomal RNA", at positions 29 to 507 of the family's 1533-position model. The record is from RNAcentral.